GACAGAGGGUGCGAACGUUGUUCGGAAUUACUGGGCGUAAAGCGCGUGUAGGCGGCUCGAUAAGUCGGAUGUGAAAGCCCUGGGCUCAACCUAGGAAGUGCAUUCGAAACUGCUGAGCUUGAGUUCUGGAGAGGAAGGCGGAAUUCUCGGUGUAGAGGUGAAAUUCGUAGAUAUCGAGAGGAACACCGGUGGCGAAGGCGGCCUUCUGGACAGCAACUGACGCUGAGACGCGAAAGCGUGGGGAGCAAACAGG
Molecule: ribosomal RNA, 253 nt
Filed under: uncultured bacterium
Lineage: Bacteria
Description: partial 16S ribosomal RNA
Rfam family: Bacterial small subunit ribosomal RNA
Source: RNAcentral